Molecule: transfer RNA, 89 nt
Filed under: Nocardiopsaceae bacterium
Lineage: Bacteria; Bacillati; Actinomycetota; Actinomycetes; Streptosporangiales; Nocardiopsidaceae
Also listed under: 2 other names
Description: tRNA-Ser
Rfam family: tRNA
About the family: Transfer RNA (tRNA) molecules are approximately 80 nucleotides in length. Their secondary structure includes four short double-helical elements and three loops (D, anti-codon, and T loops).
Source: RNAcentral
GGAGGGUUCGCCUAGUGGCCGAUGGCGGCGGUCUUGAAAACCGCUAUGGGGCGUGAGCUUCAUCGUGGGUUCGAAUCCCACACCCUCCG